AGAAGACCUUGUAUUCUGAUUCCAUGAGGCAAAGCACUUUUUCACCACUCUUCUGCAGUACUUCAGAUGUCAAGAAUUGGAAGGCAGAGGUGAAGCUUAGUGAGACAUCUGAAACACUACAUCCAGUUUUGAUAACCCAUUGUAAGGAGAACACCAAUAAACUUGGACCAGUUCAGCUUAGGACCUCCAGCUGAACUCCACUUGACCUUUUGCUCCAAAUCCCACUGAAAUCAGGUGGAGAGAAAUAGGGAUCAAACAGUACAAAGAAAUGUCUUUCAAUUAAAGAGCAAAAAAGAUCAUAUUUAAUCAGAUAAAAAAUCUCAGUCCUUCUGCCAACUGCAAAAAGCAGUCAGCUGCCUCAAAAUGGAAGGAAGGUACUCCUAAUACUUUCAAUGGGAUUUGGUGUCAGGGAGUAGCAAGUAUGAGGGUGUUCCAAGAGGGAAGACAAGCCAAAAGAUGAUGACACCAGCAGAA
Long non-coding RNA from Corapipo altera (White-ruffed manakin), 474 nucleotides. RefSeq lists it as uncharacterized. The transcript is spliced from 4 exons. NCBI's taxonomy places the organism in Eukaryota, Metazoa, Chordata, Aves, Passeriformes, Pipridae. The record is from RefSeq and is a predicted model, not a curated record.